Molecule: non-coding RNA, 104 nt
Organism: Chelonoidis abingdonii (Abingdon island giant tortoise)
Lineage: Eukaryota; Metazoa; Chordata; Testudines; Testudinidae
Source: RefSeq, a predicted model, not a curated record
UCUAUUAGAAUUCUUUGAGGGGGUCAACAAACAUGUGAACAAGGGGGAUCCAGUGGAUAUAGUAUAUUUAGAUUUUCAGAAAGCCUUUGACAAGGUCCCUCACC